Molecule: ribosomal RNA, 253 nt
Filed under: uncultured bacterium
Lineage: Bacteria
Description: partial 16S ribosomal RNA
Rfam family: Bacterial small subunit ribosomal RNA
Source: RNAcentral
UACGUAGGGCGCAAGCGUUAUCCGGAAUUAUUGGGCGUAAAGAGCUCGUAGGCGGUUUGUCGCGUCUGCCGUGAAAGUCCGGGGCUCAACUCCGGAUCUGCGGUGGGUACGGGCAGGCUAGAGUCUCGUAGAGGGGGGUAGAAUUCCAGGUGUAGCGGUGAAAUGCGUAGAGAUCGGAAAGAACACCAACGGCGAAAGCACUCUGCUGGGCCGACACUGACACUGAGAGACGAAAGCUAGGGGAGCGAAUGGG